UACGGGGGGGGCAAGCGUUGUUCGGAAUUACUGGGCGUAAAGGGCUCGUAGGUGGCCAACUAAGUCGGACGUGAAAUCCCUCGGCUUAACCGGGGAACUGCGUCCGAUACUGGUUGGCUUGAGUUUGGGAGAGGGAUGCGGAAUUCCAGGUGUAGCGGUGAAAUGCGUAGAUAUUGGGAGGAACACCAGUGGCGAAGGCGGCUACCUGGACCGGAACUGACGCUGAUGCGCGAAAGCGUGGGGAGCAAACAGG
This 253-nucleotide ribosomal RNA is filed under the name uncultured bacterium. RNAcentral's name for it is "partial 16S ribosomal RNA". It matches the Rfam family "Bacterial small subunit ribosomal RNA", at positions 524 to 776 of the family's 1533-position model. The record is from RNAcentral.